Long non-coding RNA from Scophthalmus maximus (turbot), 1076 nucleotides. RefSeq lists it as uncharacterized. NCBI's taxonomy places the organism in Eukaryota, Metazoa, Chordata, Actinopteri, Pleuronectiformes, Scophthalmidae. The transcript is spliced from 3 exons. The record is from RefSeq and is a predicted model, not a curated record.
GAAGGGGGAAGUCGAGCCGAGUUCCGCACCAGGCGAACUGUCGACAGCGGCCGAGGCGACUCUCUCGGUUCGGGUUAGCAGCGCGGCUAACCUGUGCGAGCUAACUGACCGAGUCACCAUCUGGUUCACCGCUCUCGGCUUGCCUUUUCCCCUCCUGCUUUUCUUCAUCUCACUGGCUUCUCUCCAGGCGGGCUGGCUUCCACCUGAGCUGCUCAGGCUACAUCCACACCACUACAUUUCAGUUCUAAAACUCAACUCCGGAGUUUUUGAACACCUAAAACAGAGAAAUUUGGAAACGCUGCUUGCUCAGUCAUGCCUGUUCAUUGUGUUUUCCCCUGUCUGAGCUGCUCUGCUUUAACUGUUUGAAAAAUAACUUAGUAGUAAUAAAAGGUUUAUUGUGGCAGGUUGGAUUUAACCCUUCCCCGGGGUACCCUGCACACAUUUGCUUGGCGCCACCCGUGUAUUGUGUUGGUGAAGUUUCUUCUAGUUAUGUUUCAUUGAUUUCAUUAAUUUGGCACAACCACAUUGUCCCAUCCUCUCCCACAUUUUGAGAACAUUUACGUAAUUUGUUUAAAUAAGUUGACAAUAAGUUAAUAAUAAGUUUCCUUUGAUAUUGCUGUUUGUUGUCUUCCGCCAAGACACACAAAAGGGAUGAAACACACUGUGACAGUGUUUGUACCUGCUCUGCUGCAUCAGGCGGCGGUCGGCAAGGGCCCACAUGAUCCUCAAGGUGAAGACCACAAUGAUGAUGAGGGGAAGAAAGAACUCGGUGAUGGUGAGAAAGAGGAGCUUUGAGAGGCAGCAGCCAGUGGGCUGGAAAGCAGUGGAGAGGAUGGAGUAGGUGACCACGAUGGCGAGCAGCCACACCGAGACGCACACACAUUUGGCCACACUGGAGUUCCUCCAACGACGGGAAGCUUCAACCUGCAAGGACAUAAGUAUGCAGCCACUGUGGAGGACAACUUACCUCUAAAAAAUGGGAGACAAGUGGAACCAGUAGAUGAACCCUGGUCUUCUAAAAACCUGAGUCUGUUGAAGUUAGAGUGUCCUUAUCGUCCGUCCUCAACCACAUAUCC